Transfer RNA from Lodderomyces elongisporus NRRL YB-4239, 74 nucleotides. It matches the Rfam family "tRNA". From Rfam's summary of the family: Transfer RNA (tRNA) molecules are approximately 80 nucleotides in length. Their secondary structure includes four short double-helical elements and three loops (D, anti-codon, and T loops). Further hydrogen bonds mediate the characteristic L-shaped molecular structure. tRNAs have two regions of fundamental functional importance: the anti-codon, which is responsible for specific mRNA codon recognition, and the 3' end, to which the tRNAs corresponding amino acid is attached (by aminoacyl-tRNA synthetases). tRNAs cope with the degeneracy of the genetic code in two manners: having more than one tRNA (with a specific anti-codon) for a particular amino acid; and 'wobble' base-pairing, i.e. permitting non-standard base-pairing at the 3rd anti-codon position. Lineage: Eukaryota; Fungi; Ascomycota; Pichiomycetes; Serinales; Debaryomycetaceae. The record is from Rfam.
GCCUGGCUAGCUCAAUCGGCUAGAGCAUCUGACUCUUAAUCAGAAGGUUGCGGGUUCGAGUCCCGCGUUGGGCU